Long non-coding RNA from Saccostrea cuccullata (small rock oyster), 309 nucleotides. RefSeq lists it as uncharacterized. The record is from RefSeq and is a predicted model, not a curated record. The transcript has 3 exons. NCBI's taxonomy places the organism in Eukaryota, Metazoa, Mollusca, Bivalvia, Ostreida, Ostreidae.
AUGUGCUGAAUAUAACGUUCAUGGAAGAGUCAUUCAGUCCAGUUUGGAAAACCAUUGUGAAACCUGUCCUGUUAGAUACAUAUCAACGGAUAUUUAUAAAUAUCAGAGUUGCUAUGAUAUAGUGACAAGCAGCUCUAAAGAAGUUUCCACAGUCAAGAUCGACAAUCAAAACAGAUGCAUGAUCGACAAUAAUCGUUGGAACAUGGUAUUUGCUUUAUUGGCAAUAUUAGCUGUUUUCGUUUUUGUGAUUGCUAUUGGAGUUGUUUUUAUUAUUAUCAGGUUGAAAUUAUUCUCGUCUCGCAAACAUGU